CCCAACUCUGCUCGUCUUUCACCAUCACCAUAAUUGAAUAACUGAAUUCCAUCAUUUAAGCCUCUCCAACAAAAAGUAAAGAGACGCCCGCUUCACUUCAUCUUCCCCUAACCUCUCCAAUCCCAUACACACUACAUAGCCUUUCUGCUUUGCUCUCGGUGCGAACCAACGAACCACCACCGCCUGCCUCUGCCGGGAUUGUGGGUGCUCCGAUUGCAGUCAGCAGGUAUGUUGACUGAGGGAGGGAGAUAUUAUAGAUGCUGGUUAAUGAUCUGAUCAUGUGGAAUGAUGUGGCAAAAUCAACACUUUGAUUCGGGUUUGGGUGACUUUGUAUCCUGUCAUCCUGUUUCACAACCGGUGUUAGCUUCAGCAUGGUUGCUUUGGUAUCUCAAUUGGGUCUUCUCUGUUUGUGUGUUUUGUUCAUCUCCAACAUGAUUGCGCAAAGGAAUGGGAUUGAAAGCAAGAGAGAACUAAAGCUUAAAGAAGAGGAUAUUCUAAGAGCUGCUAGAGUUAUACUUCCUGCAGUAAAAUGAUUCAAGACGAAUAUAUAGUUAUAUAACAUUUUAAUGGGGGUUAAAGUUGCAUUUGGAUUACUCGGCAAUGACUAGAAAUCAAAAAAGGCAGCAAUGGUGGUGGUUUAGAGCAUGUUUACACGGAUGCAUGGGCAUCUGCAUAGAGUUCGGUUGCAGUUGGAGCUGCAUUAGUGGCUGAUUACGUGUAUUAACCUUCUUAAGAAGAGCUAGCAAUUGAUACCGGUUCUUUAAAAACCUUAAAGGGUGACACGUAUUAUAACGAACAUUUGAGGUAAAGGAUCAAAAUACUUGCGCAUUCAACUCUAAGAGCAACUUAAACAACAUUCUUGUUUUCUCAUGUAUACAAGAGAUGAUUGGGUCUCAGUCAAGUCAGUCAAUGAGCGGCCAAAGCAUGUCUAAGAUGGUCAACACGUCUGUCGAGGAGCUUGGGUGCGUUUCGGAUUAUAAACCAGUGACGC
This is a long non-coding RNA of Helianthus annuus (common sunflower), 991 nucleotides long. RefSeq lists it as uncharacterized. Lineage: Eukaryota; Viridiplantae; Streptophyta; Magnoliopsida; Asterales; Asteraceae. The record is from RefSeq and is a predicted model, not a curated record. The transcript is spliced from 4 exons.